Molecule: small nuclear RNA, 107 nt
Filed under: Monodon monoceros (narwhal)
Lineage: Eukaryota; Metazoa; Chordata; Mammalia; Artiodactyla; Monodontidae
Source: RNAcentral
GUGCUCGCUUCAGCAGCACAUAUACUAAAAUUGGAAUGAUACAGAGAAGGUUAGCAUGGCCCCUGCGCAAGGAUGACACGCAAAUUCGUGAAGCAUUCUAUAUUUUU